GGGCAUAUGGCGGAAUGGUAGACGCAGUAGACUCAAAAUCUACCGGAGUAAUCCUUGAAGGUUCAAGUCCUUUUAUGCCCACCA
This 84-nucleotide transfer RNA is filed under the name Alphaproteobacteria bacterium. RNAcentral describes it as "tRNA-Leu". It matches the Rfam family "tRNA". From Rfam's summary of the family: Transfer RNA (tRNA) molecules are approximately 80 nucleotides in length. Lineage: Bacteria; Pseudomonadati; Pseudomonadota; Alphaproteobacteria. The record is from RNAcentral.